This is a non-coding RNA of Pelobates cultripes (western spadefoot toad), 880 nucleotides long. The record is from the annotation of a GenBank genome assembly. Lineage: Eukaryota; Metazoa; Chordata; Amphibia; Anura; Pelobatidae.
AUUUAAAAGUACACCUAUUUAUACCUUAGGUGUCUCCAUUUUAGGUUACUGUAGUUCAAAUAUGAAAAAGUAACACUUCUUUUACUUUAUUCAAUUUAGGACCUCCCUUAAUUUGGCAAACAUACAAGGCCAUAACUAAAGGGUGCAAACGUCAUGGAAAUUUUCCUGACUUAGUUCAAAAUGGCAUCUUAAAGUCUGAAUAGGUUAUCUGUUGUUUAUACUAAGUCGUAAGUGUACAGUCGCGGGAGAUUCCUGGAUUUGGGGAAGUUCCAUUAACUUGUAUAUUGUGUACUGCAAGAGUCGUAGCAUAGCCUUGAAGCUUGUUUAUGCAUUAUUGUUAUUGUAAUUCGUCUGGGACAAAAUGGCACAAACAUAUUAUGCACUGAGGUUAUUGCUUAAAGAAACAGUUAUGAAAAACAAUAUGUUCCAUUUCUAACACCUUGUCAGUUUGCAAUAUCUCUUAAAGACAAAGUACACAGUUUAAGAAAUACAAUAUUUCAUUCUAAAACUUGUAAUAUUUGCAUUUGCCUGUAACAGACUUUUCUACACUGUGCUAUCUCACCGGUAUUUGGUGCUCAAAGACAUCGUGCAGUAGUUUUAAACUAUACAACAGGGGACACAUUGUACAGUAAUUAUUUUUCAUAUAGCCUGUAUAUGUUCUGCGGAAUCUGCAUUAAACUGUAUCUUCCAAACUACUGAACGGAUCUGGGUGAAUUUUGGAUAUGUGGUUCACCCAGAUCCCCUGGUUCCGAGGAUAUAUUUCAUGGGGUUAUUGCAUGUUUUGGGAUCCCUGUGAUAGGUUUUAUAAUACUGUAUUUCUCUGCCUGUGAUAAUUAUAUUAACCAUUGUGUUCAGUAAUUAUAUCACAGGCAGAGGGGAG